RNAcentral lists this ribosomal RNA (1449 nucleotides) under uncultured organism. RNAcentral describes it as "SSU rRNA". It matches the Rfam family "Bacterial small subunit ribosomal RNA". The record is from RNAcentral.
UAGCUACAGGCUUAACACAUGCAAGUCGAGGGGCAGCAUGGUCUUAGCUUGCUAAGGUCGAUGGCGACCGGCGCACGGGUGAGUAACGCGUAUCCAACCUGCCUUACACUCUUGGACAGCCUUCUGAAAGGGAGAUUAAUACAAGAUGUUAUCAUGAGUAAGCAUUUUCGCAUGAUUAAAGGUUUACCGGUGUAAGAUGGGGAUGCGUUCCAUUAGAUAGUAGGCGGGGUAACGGCCCACCUAGUCUUCGAUGGAUAGGGGUUCUGAGAGGAAGGUCCCCCACAUUGGAACUGAGACACGGUCCAAACUCCUACGGGAGGCAGCAGUGAGGAAUAUUGGUCAAUGGACGAGAGUCUGAACCAGCCAAGUAGCGUGAAGGAUGAAGGUUCUAUGGAUUGUAAACUUCUUUUAUACGGGAAUAAACGAAUCCACGUGUGGAUUUUUGCAUGUACCGUAUGAAUAAGGAUCGGCUAACUCCGUGCCAGCAGCCGCGGUAAUACGGAGGAUCCGAGCGUUAUCCGGAUUUAUUGGGUUUAAAGGGAGCGUAGAUGGGUUGUUAAGUCAGUUGUGAAAGUUUGCGGCUCAACCGUAAAAUUGCAAUUGAUACUGGCAGUCUUGAGUACAGUUGAGGUAGGCGGAAUUCGUGGUGUAGCGGUGAAAUGCUUAGAUAUCACGAAGAACUCCGAUUGCGAAGGCAGCUUACUAACCUGUAACUGACAUUGAUGCUCGAAAGUGUGGGUAUCAAACAGGAUUAGAUACCCUGGUAGUCCACACGGUAAACGAUGAAUACUCGCUGUAGGCGAUAUACAGUCUGCGGCCAAGCGAAAGCAUUAAGUAUUCCACCUGGGGAGUACGCCGGCAACGGUGAAACUCAAAGGAAUUGACGGGGGCCCGCACAAGCGGAGGAACAUGUGGUUUAAUUCGAUGAUACGCGAGGAACCUUACCCGGGCUUAAAUUGCAACCGAAUAUGGCGGAAACGCUAUAGCUAGCAAUAGCGGUUGUGAAGGUGCUGCAUGGUUGUCGUCAGCUCGUGCCGUGAGGUGUCGGCUUAAGUGCCAUAACGAGCGCAACCCUUGCCGAUAGUUACUAACAGGUCAUGCUGAGGACUCUGUCGGGACUGCCAUCGUAAGAUGUGAGGAAGGUGGGGAUGACGUCAAAUCAGCACGGCCCUUACGUCCGGGGCUACACACGUGUUACAAUGGGGGGUACAGAGGGCUGCUACCACGCAAGUGGAUGCCAAUCCCAAAAACCUCUCUCAGUUCGGAUUGAAGUCUGCAACCCGACUUCAUGAAGCUGGAUUCGCUAGUAAUCGCGCAUCAGCCACGGCGCGGUGAAUACGUUCCCGGGCCUUGUACACACCGCCCGUCAAGCCAUGGGAGCCGGGGGUACCUGAAGUGCGUAACCGCAAGGAGCGCCCUAGGGUAAAACUGGUGACUGGGGCUAAGUAG